GAUGAAGAACGCAGCAAAAUGCGAUAAGUAAUGUGAAUUGCAGAAUUCAGUGAAUCAUCGAAUCUUUGAACGCACAUUGCGCCCGCUGGUAUUCCGGCGGGCAUGCCUGUUCGAGCGUCAUUUCAACCCUCAAGCCCCCGGGUUUGGUGUUGGGGAUCGGCUCUGCCCUCUGGGCGGUGCCGCCCCCGAAAUACAUUGGCGGUCUCGCUGGAGCCUCCAUUGCGUAGUAGCUAACACCUCGCAACUGGAACGCGGCGCGGCCAUGCCGUAAAACCCCAACUUCUGAAUGUUGACCUCGGAUCAGGUAGGAAUACCCGCUGAACUUAAGCAUAUCAAUAAGCGGAGGA
Molecule: unclassified non-coding RNA, 347 nt
Filed under: soil metagenome
Description: partial contains 5.8S ribosomal RNA, internal transcribed spacer 2, and large subunit ribosomal RNA
Rfam family: 5.8S ribosomal RNA (bases 1-120)
Source: RNAcentral